Molecule: ribosomal RNA, 301 nt
Filed under: uncultured bacterium
Lineage: Bacteria
Description: partial 16S ribosomal RNA
Rfam family: Bacterial small subunit ribosomal RNA
Source: RNAcentral
CAGUCGCCGCGGUAAUACGUAGGUGGCAAGCGUUGUCCGGAAUUAUUGGGCGUAAAGGGCUCGCAGGCGGGCGAUUAAGUCAGGGGUGAAAUCCCAAGGCUCAACCCUGGAACUGCCUUUGAUACUGAUUGUCUUGAGUCCGGGAGAGGUGAGUGGAACUGCGAGUGUAGAGGUGAAAUUCGUAGAUAUUCGCAAGAACACCAGUGGCGAAGGCGGCUCACUGGCCCGGAACUGACGCUGAGGCGCGAAAGCGUGGGGAGCAAACAGGAUUAGAUACCCCCGUAGUCCCUGUCUCUUAUAC